AUGCAGGAGGAUGGGGUGGCGCAGUGGGAGGGGUACGUGGACUGGAGGAACCGGCCGGCGACGAAGGCCCGGCACGGCGGCAUGGUCGCAGCCUCCUUCGUGCUCGUUGUGGAGGUGCUUGAGAACCUGGCGUUCCUGGCGAACGCGAGCAACCUGGUGACUUACCUGAUGAAGACCAUGCACUACUCGCCGGCCCAGUCGGCCACCACGGUGACCAACUUCAUGGGCACGGCCUUCCUGCUCGCCCUCCUCGGCGGCUUCCUCUCCGACGCCGUCUGCACCACCUACGUCGCCUACCUCAUCAGCGCCUUCGUCGAGUUCAUGGGCCUGGUGAUCCUGACGAUCCAGGCGCGAUCUUCGUCCCUGAUGCCGGCGCAGUGCGACAAGGGCGCUCCAGGCUGCUUACCGGUGGGAGGGAGCAAGAAGGCGAUGCUGUUCGUGGGCCUGUACCUGACGGCUCUGGGCGUGGGGGGAAUCAAGGGCUCCCUGCCGCCGCACGGCGCGGAGCAGUUCGACGAGGACACCCCGCGAGGCCGCAAGGGCCGCUCCACUUUCUUCAACUACUACGUCUUCUGCCUCUCCUGCGGCGCGCUGGUCGCGGUCACCUUCGGCGUGUGGGUGGAGGACAACAUGGGGUGGCAAUGGGGGUUCGGCAUCUCCACCGUCGCCAUCCUGCUCUCCAUCCCGGUCUUCCUCGCCGGAUCCGGGCGCUACCGAAGCAAGGUGCCCACGGGCAGCCCGCUCACAACGAUCGCCAAGGUGCUCCUGGCUGCCGCUUCGGCACGCAGCCGAGGCAGCGGCACGCAGAACGGGGCCAGCAAUGGCGCCGUCAUCGACCGCGCGCCCAGCCCCACGGGCAGCACCGACAUGAAGGAAUAUUAUGGUAACAAGGAGUCGUGCGAGGCCGUGGAGCCGUCGCAGGAGCUGAAGGCGCUGAACAGGGCCGUGCAGUGCCAGCCGCGGCACAGGGCGCUGGCGUGCUCGGUGCAGGAGGUGGAGGACGUGAAGAUCGUGCUCAUGGUGCUCCCCAUCUUCCUGGCCACCAUCAUGCUCAACUGCUGCCUGGCGCAGCUGUCCACCUUCUCCGUGGAGCAGGCGGCGACCAUGGACACCCGAGUGGGGGGGCUCAAGGUGCCCCCGGCGUCUCUCCCGGUGUUCCCCGUCACGUUCAUCAUCCUCCUGGCGCCGAUCUACGACCACGUCAUCGUCCCGUUGGCGCGCCGGGUGACCGGGACGGAGAUGGGGAUCACGCACCUGCAGCGCAUCGGCACGGGUUUGGUCCUCUCCAUCGUGGCAAUGGCGGUGGCAGCCGUCGUCGAGGUGAAGCGGAAGAAGGUGGCGACCGAUGCCGGGAUGGUCGACUCCACGGCAGGCACGCCUCCUCUGCCAAUCACCUUCUUCUGGAUCGCGUUCCAAUACCUGUUCCUGGGCUCGGCGGAUCUCUUCACGCUGGCAGGAUUGCUGGAGUUCUUCUUCAGCGAGGCGCCGCCGCGGAUGCGGUCGCUGGCGACGUCGCUGUCGUGGGCGUCGCUGGCGCUGGGGUACUACAUGAGCUCGGUGCUCGUCGCGGUGGUGAACAGCGCCACGGGCCGCGGCGGGCACCAGCCGUGGCUGGAAGGGGCCAAGGAUAACCUGAACCGGUACCACCUCGAGAGGUUCUACUGGCUCAUGUGCGUGCUCAGCGCGCUCAACUAUGUCUUCUUCUUGGUCCUGGCCAUCCGGUACAAGUACAGAAACGCCGGGGUCAUCAAGGGGUGAUCCAUGCUAUUCCUCAUGCGCGCAGUUUGUGUAAUGUAGGGAACGUCGUUGGGUACUGCUGUUCGUAAUAUCGGGCAUGAUAUAUGGAGGACGAACAAAACAUUCACAUUCCGCUGCAAAGAGAUAAUUUCCUUGACUACCACUGUUGUGGUAAAAUAAACCUCUUAUAUGGGCCGGGCCGUAAAUCCUACAUGGUGAUGACCAAGUCAACAUUUCGCAAGCACGGGUCAAAACGCCCCCGUGGCGCAGUCAAUCCUACGUAGUAAAAGAAGACUAGUCAAUGAGUCAAGCCUCUCAUUUCAUGGUCAAAUGAUCAAAUGAGUUAGAGUAUGGGACAAGAAAGGUGUGAGGAGGGGGCCCUUAGUCCAUGGCGGACCAUGGAUCAAGCUCUACUUUUCUCACAUGGUGCACAUAAAAGUUAUGGACCAAAGAAACUACUUUUACCAUUUUACCCUCACUUUUCUCUCUCC
RNA transcript from Brachypodium distachyon (stiff brome), 2228 nucleotides. It is a transcript of the gene named protein NRT1/ PTR FAMILY 4.6, with no coding region annotated. The record is from RefSeq and is a predicted model, not a curated record. NCBI's taxonomy places the organism in Eukaryota, Viridiplantae, Streptophyta, Magnoliopsida, Poales, Poaceae. The transcript has 4 exons.